GAUGAAGAACGCAGCGAAAUGCGAUAAGUAAUGUGAAUUGCAGAAUUCAGUGAAUCAUCGAAUCUUUGAACGCACAUUGCGCCCCCUGGUAUUCCGGGGGGCAUGCCUGUCCGAGCGUCAUUACAACCCUCAAGCUCAGCUUGGUAUUGGGCCCCGCCGACCCGGCGGGCCCUAAAGUCAGUGGCGGUGCCGUCCGGCUCCGAGCGUAGUAAUUCUUCUCGCUCUGGAGGUCCGGUCGUGUGCUCGCCAGCAACCCCCAAUUUUUUUCAGGUUGACCUUGGAUCAGGUAGGGAUACCCGCUGAACUUAAGCAUAUCAAUAAGCGGAGGA
This 329-nucleotide unclassified non-coding RNA is filed under the name soil metagenome. RNAcentral's name for it is "partial contains 5.8S ribosomal RNA, internal transcribed spacer 2, and large subunit ribosomal RNA". The stretch from base 1 to 120 matches the Rfam family "5.8S ribosomal RNA", at positions 35 to 154 of the family's 154-position model. The record is from RNAcentral.